Molecule: ribosomal RNA, 253 nt
Filed under: uncultured bacterium
Lineage: Bacteria
Description: partial 16S ribosomal RNA
Rfam family: Bacterial small subunit ribosomal RNA
Source: RNAcentral
UACGUAGGCAGCGAGCGUUGUUCGGAGUUACUGGGCGUAAAGGGCGCGUAGGCGGACAGUUUAGUCAGAGGUGAAAGCCCAGGGCUCAACCCUGGAAUUGCCUUUGAUACUGAUUGUCUUGAGUAUGGGAGAGGUGAGUGGAACUCCGAGUGUAGAGGUGAAAUUCGUAGAUAUUCGGAAGAACACCAGUGGCGAAGGCGACUCACUGGCCCAUUACUGACGCUGAGGCUCGAAAGCGUGGGGAGCAAACAGG